AUUGAACGCUACGCGGGAGUGCCUUACACAGUGCAAGUCGAACGGCAGGCAGUAAGAGAGCUUGCUCUCUUGAUGGCGAGUGGCGAACGGGUGAGUAAUGUAUCGGAACGUGCCCAGUAGCGGGGGAUAACUACGCGAAAGCGUAGCUAAUACCGCAUACGCCCUACGGGGGAAAGGAGGGGAUCCGCAAGGACCUUUCACUAUUGGAGCGGCCGAUAUCGGAUUAGCUAGUUGGUGAGGUAACGGCUCACCAAGGCGACGAUCCGUAGCUGGUUUGAGAGGACGACCAGCCACACUGGGACUGAGACACGGCCCAG
This 317-nucleotide ribosomal RNA is filed under the name uncultured bacterium. RNAcentral's name for it is "bacterial SSU rRNA". It matches the Rfam family "Bacterial small subunit ribosomal RNA", at positions 41 to 334 of the family's 1533-position model. The record is from RNAcentral.